Molecule: long non-coding RNA, 1766 nt
Filed under: Bos taurus (domestic cattle)
Lineage: Eukaryota; Metazoa; Chordata; Mammalia; Artiodactyla; Bovidae
Description: LINC24065-v2
Source: RNAcentral
GCCUUAUGGAAAUGGUUAUUGUUAAUCCAAGUCUUUUCACUGAGUUUUAUUAAAAACAAGAAAACCACGUAGUUUUUAAAUCUCUGUGGGUAUUGAAAUAGACAUAUGGAGAUAAUAAAUAUUAUUCACGUUUCUUAUCUAAUGUUAGUUAUUUCCUAGAUAUUGAUGUGUUCUUACAUAUAAAUGGAUGAAGUUUUAAUCACAGGCAAUAGUUUAAAAGGAGGCAAAUGUGGCUCAGUAAGAAAGAAGAAUAAUGACUCAUCUGUAUGUAUACCACUAAUUCUCUCUUCCUAGUUUAGAUAUGAACAUGUAGACAGGUACAUGAAGACCAUUUCUAUUUUGGGUUCUUUCUAUUCUGGAUUUCUGUCAUUUUCUUUGUGUGUUUGUAUAUUUGAACAUAUGAUCACAUAUUCCAUGAAUAAUUCCAUACCUGAAUAAAUACAACAGUGAACAGUUGAAUUAAUGUGAGUAGGGUCAAACAUCAGAGAAGGCGGUGGCACCCCACUCCAGUACUCCUGCCUGGAAAAUCCCAUGGACGGGGGAGCCUGGUGGGCUGCCAUCUAUGGGGUUGCACAGAGUCGGACACGACUGAAGUGACUUAGCAGCAGCAGCAGCAGCAGCAGCAGGGUCAAGCAUAGACUUUGAAUGAAGACUGUGGCUGCUUCAAUCAAUCUUCUCUGAGGAAGAUCUUGGCUGUUACCUUUGUGGAACGGAUGCUCAAUGAUUCAAUUAAGGACUGUAGAAACUUUUGCUAAUUUAAGGAUCUUUCCUGGUCAGGAGCUCUAGAAUGGAUGCCUAUUAGCAGAUUUCAGCAUCUCCCAUGGUCAUGUGCUCUGCAGGCUAAGAACGGACCAGUGGGGCUGGCUGGAAAGCUCUUCCACGGACGCGCUCUCUGGUUGCCUCCAUGCCUUCGGUGUAUAGAGGCCCACAAAGAGAACCCGGAAGUUCAUGGUGGCCUCACUGUAGCAGCCUUAAGCCCACUAAUCAAUGCACUCAAGCGGAUGCAUGCGUUUUCCAUGACUUCCUUUGUGUGUUGAGAGCCUAGAGAAGAACAAUGGACGCACAGCAGUGGGUUUAAGGAUCUUCCGUGGUCUUGGGCUCUACAGACUGAUAAUGGAUGCACCUGAAUUUAUUAAGCAUUCGACUGUGAUCAGGGCCUCUGCUGGUUUUCCUGUGUAUAAAUACAUGUGGGUCAUAAUGGAUCCUACAAGCUGAUUUCAGCUUCUGCUCUGAUUGAGAUCAUCAUGUUGCCUCUGUCAGGAGGGCGACAAAGACCACUAAAUGGGUGCACCUGGACUGAACAGACCACGAUCUCGAGGCUGCCAGUUUUCCCUAAAGAUUCCUUAGUUGAUAGCAGUGUAAGCUAUUUUCAUCAUGAGGAAGAGCACACUGGAGAUAAUGAACUGAACUAAUGUAGCCCUUCUGCCAUGGCAGUGAAUGCUGUAUUAGGAGCAAAGAGACAAAUGGUGGGUUCUCAAUGCUGUUCAAGUUUCAACCAUGAUUCCUGUGAUCAAAAAAUUUAUGGCUGCAUCUAUGUGUAGGAACCAGUAACAGAUACUGGAGUGGACUUCAGCUUCUGCCACAGUGAAGAUUAUCAUAAUGACUCUGUCAGGAAAGAGACCAAGACUGGACAUACUUGAGAUGAUUUAACCAUCUUCCAUGAUCCCAAGCCCUUUGGUUGCCUCUAUACAUUCAUUAGAAGUAUGGAGGCCAGUUACUCCGCAGAAUGGAUGCCCUUGAGCUGACUUAAGCAUCUUCCACGGUCU